AUGGUCUGAAAAAAGGCUACUGUGUGGUUGAACCCCAGAAACCUGGGUGCAGCCCUGUACCAGUUAGCCUGACUUUGACCUAGAGUAAAUUCCCAGGAAAAAUGGGAUUUUAAUUUUGCAGUAACAGGUGUGAGCAUUCUAGCAGCAGUUUGAUGAUCAUGUAUAAUACUGCAAACAAUA
Molecule: non-coding RNA, 180 nt
Organism: Monodelphis domestica (gray short-tailed opossum)
Lineage: Eukaryota; Metazoa; Chordata; Mammalia; Didelphimorphia; Didelphidae
Source: Ensembl